UUAACCGUAUAGGGGAGCCGAAGGGAAACCGAGUCUUAACUGGGCGUUAAGUUGCAGGGUAUAGACCCGAAACCCGGUGAUCUAGCCAUGGGCAGGUUGAAGGUUGGGUAACACUAACUGGAGGACCGAACCGACUAAUGUUGAAAAAUUAGCGGAUGACUUGUGGCUGGGGGUGAAAGGCCAAUCAAACCGGGAGAUAGCUGGUUCUCCCCGAAAGCUAUUUAGGUAGCGCCUCGUGAACUCAUCUUCGGGGGUAGAGCACUGUUUCGGCUAGGGGGUCAUCCCGACUUACCAACCCGAUGCAAACUGCGAAUACCGAAGAAUGUUAUCACGGGAGACACACGGCGGGUGCUAACGUCCGUCGUGAAGAGGGAAACAACCCAGACCGCCAGCUAAGGUCCCAAAGUCACAGUUAAGUGGGAAACGAUGUGGGAAGGCCCAGACAGCCAGGAUGUUGGCUUAGAAGCAGCCAUCAUUUAAAGAAAGCGUAAUAGCUCACUGGUCGAGUCGGCCUGCGCGGAAGAUGUAACGGGGCUAAACCAUGCACCGAAGCUGCGGCAGCGACGCUGAUGCGUUGUUGGGUAGGGGAGCGUUCUGUAAGCCUGUGAAGGUGGCCUGUGAGGGUUGCUGGAGGUAUCAGAAGUG
This 645-nucleotide ribosomal RNA is filed under the name Salmonella enterica subsp. enterica serovar Kentucky. Its description in RNAcentral is "bacterial LSU rRNA". It matches the Rfam family "Bacterial large subunit ribosomal RNA", at positions 646 to 1290 of the family's 2925-position model. The record is from RNAcentral. Lineage: Bacteria; Pseudomonadati; Pseudomonadota; Gammaproteobacteria; Enterobacterales; Enterobacteriaceae.